RNAcentral lists this ribosomal RNA (253 nucleotides) under uncultured bacterium. RNAcentral's name for it is "partial 16S ribosomal RNA". It matches the Rfam family "Bacterial small subunit ribosomal RNA", at positions 524 to 776 of the family's 1533-position model. The record is from RNAcentral.
UACGUAGGGGGCUAGCGUUGUCCGGAAUCAUUGGGCGUAAAGAGCGUGUAGGCGGUCCGGUAAGUCCGCUGUGAAAGUCGGGGGCUCAACCCUCGAAUGCCGGUGGAUACUGUCGGGCUAGAGUGCGGAAGAGGCGAGUGGAAUUCCUGGUGUAGCGGUGAAAUGCGCAGAUAUCAGGAGGAACACCGGUGGCGAAGGCGGAUCUCUGGGCCUUGCCUGACGCUGAGGCGCGAAAGCUAGGGGAGCGAACAGG